This 788-nucleotide ribosomal RNA is filed under the name uncultured organism. RNAcentral's name for it is "bacterial SSU rRNA". It matches the Rfam family "Bacterial small subunit ribosomal RNA", at positions 49 to 859 of the family's 1533-position model. The record is from RNAcentral.
UAAUGCAUGCAAGUCGAGCGAUGAGGCCCUCUUCGGGGGGUACAUCAGCGGCAGACGGGUGAGUAACACGUAGGUGAUCUACCCCAGAGACGGGGAUAACGGGUGGAAACAUCCGCUAAUACCGGAUAGGCUUGUUCGGUCAAAGGGACAAGGAAAGGCUCCGGCGCUCUGGGAGGAGCCUGCGGCCCAUCAGCUAGUUGGCGGGGUAACGGCCCACCAAGGCAAAGACGGGUAGGGGGUGUGAGAGCACGGCCCCCCACAAUGGGACUGGAACACGGCCCAUACUCCUACGGGAGGCAGCAGCAGGGAAUAUUGCACAAUGGACGGGAGCCUGAUGCAGCGACGCCGCGUGGAUGAAGAAGGCCCUCGGGUUGUAAAAUCCUUUACAGGGGGAAGAGGAAGGACGGUACCCCUGGAACAAGUGUCGGCUAACUACGUGCCAGCAGCCGCGGUAAGACGUAGGACACAAGCGUUAUCCGGAUUUACUGGGCGUAAAGCGUCUGCAGGCGGACAGGUAAGUUGGGCGUGAAAGCUCCGGGCCCAACCCGGAGAGGUCGUUCAAUACUGCGUGUCUAGAGGGUGUCAGAGGGGAGUGGAAUUUCCGGAGUAGCGGUAAAAUGCGCAGAGAUCGGAAAGAACACCAAUGGCGAAGGCAGCUCCCUGGGGCAACCCUGACGCUAAGAGACGAAAGCUAGGGGAGCGAACAGGAUUAGAGACCCUGGUAGUCCUAGCCCUAAACGAUGGAUGCUGGAUGUGGGGCCAUAGCGCUCCGUGUCGAAGCGAACGCG